This 255-nucleotide ribosomal RNA is filed under the name uncultured bacterium. RNAcentral describes it as "partial 16S ribosomal RNA". It matches the Rfam family "Bacterial small subunit ribosomal RNA", at positions 524 to 776 of the family's 1533-position model. The record is from RNAcentral.
UACGUAGGGUGCGAGCGUUGUCCGGAAUUAUUGGGCGUAAAGAGCUCGUAGGCGGUGUGUCACGUCGUUCGUGAAAACCUGCAGCUUAACUGUGGGCGUGCGGUCGAUACGGGCAUCACUGGAGUUCGGCAGGGGAGACUGGAAUUCCUGGUGUAGCGGUGAAAUGCGCAGAUAUCAGGAGGAACACCGGUGGCGAAAGGCGGGUCACUGGCCCGGUACUGACGCUGAGGUGCGAAAGCGUGGGGAGCAAACAGG